GGGCCUGUGGUCUAGCUGGUUAUGACACCGCCUUUUCACGGCGGAGGUCCGGAGUUCGAAUCUCCGCGGGCCCA
Molecule: transfer RNA, 74 nt
Filed under: Methanospirillum sp.
Lineage: Archaea; Methanobacteriati; Methanobacteriota; Methanomicrobia; Methanomicrobiales; Methanospirillaceae
Description: tRNA-Glu
Rfam family: tRNA
About the family: Transfer RNA (tRNA) molecules are approximately 80 nucleotides in length.
Source: RNAcentral